CCUACGGGAGGCAGCAGUAGGGAAUCUUCCACAAUGGACGAAAGUCUGAUGGAGCAACGCCGCGUGAGUGAAGAAGGGUUUCGGCUCGUAAAGCUCCGUUGGUAGUGAAGAAAGAUAGAGGUAGUAACUGGCCUUUAUUUGACGGUAAUUACUUAGAAAGUCACGGGUAACUACGUGCCAGCAGCCGCGGUAAUACGUAGGUGGCAAGCGUUGUCCGGAUUUAUUUGGCGUAAAGCGAGUGCAGGCGGUUCAAUAAGUCUGAUGUGAAAGCCUUCGGCUCAACCGGAGAAUUGCAUCAGAAACUGUUGAACUUGAGUGCAGAAGAGGAGAGUGGAACUCCAUGUGUAGCGGUGGAAUGCGUAGAUAUAUGGAAGAACACCAGUGGCGAAGGCGGCUCUCUAGUCUGCAACUGACGCUGAGGCUCGAAAGCAUGGGUAGCGAACAGGAUUAGAUACCCGGGUAGUC
This 465-nucleotide ribosomal RNA is filed under the name uncultured bacterium. RNAcentral's name for it is "partial 16S ribosomal RNA". It matches the Rfam family "Bacterial small subunit ribosomal RNA", at positions 338 to 795 of the family's 1533-position model. The record is from RNAcentral.